UUGUAACCCAGGUUAUAAAAGUCUGAAUUAUUUAAAAAGUACAUUUUAUUAUUAAAAAGGGCACAUAAUUAAUAUAUAGUCUAUUACAAUUAAGAAUAGCUAAUUCUUAAUAAAAACACAAUAAAUAAAAUAAGUCAAUUAAAUAAGGAGCUGGGAAAAUAAUGUAAAUAAAUACAGACACAAAUAUUAGAGGAAAAUAAACUUUAUUUAAUCCAUAAAUAAUUAUUUUUCAUAUUUUGGGAAUACUUUGUUGUUUUAGUAGCACGUCACCUAUUGCAGCCAAUAUGGUGAUCGUAUUACGCUGACAUGAGUGGGAAAUACUGUUGACCCUGACCCAGCACUUCCUUUUGGGUCAAGCAGCCGUCAGGAGCAGGUGAAUGCUGGAAGAAAGUUGACAGAAAGCUAGAUACAAGCCAAACUUAGGUGAUAGAAACCUUAUUAUUACCAGUAAUAACUCUCAUCUACUCUAAAACGCUGAGCUGGUGGAGCCAAGACGCAGUUUGUGGUGAAUGAGGAGCUUAUUAGCCUGAUACACAGAGGUUUUUUUGCAUCGGUCAGGUUUUUUGACUAGAGUUCGAAUUGGAUUCCCUCGUUCCUACGUUUGAUGGCGAGCCUCCCUGGACUUCGACCCUGAAAGCUGUUUGCAAGUACUGUGGACAACUCUGAUCUGUGAAACCCCUUUUUUCCCUUAUUGCUGAACCUUUAUUCAUCUUCAGAGCGGUAGGAGAAAUAUUCACCAUGCCAUAGACUGGACUCUAUGCACAUACCCACACUUCAAACUCCAACUCCCACCUGUGAAACAAAAGAAAAAAGAACUUUAUAUUGUUGUGGUUUUGAUAUAUGUAUAUUGUGUUAUUAUUUUAAUUGAACUUAAUUCUUAUUAUUAUAGAUUUUCCUACCCGGGUAGUAGUAAUAUAAAUAGUAUCACAUACAACAACAUCAGGGAAAGAUAAUAUUGGUAUUAUUCAUAUUGAAUAUUCUAUAUCUUUUGUUUAUUAUUUUCUUUUAUUUAAUAGUAUUCGUACUUACCUUUUCAAUAAAUGGAGGCUUCCACUAAGCUCCAAAUUCCA
Molecule: long non-coding RNA, 1070 nt
Organism: Astyanax mexicanus (Mexican tetra)
Lineage: Eukaryota; Metazoa; Chordata; Actinopteri; Characiformes; Acestrorhamphidae
Exons: 2
Source: RefSeq, a predicted model, not a curated record